CUCCCUAUAGCUCAACAGGAUAGAGCAGUCGCCUCCUAAGCGAUCGAUCAGGGUUCGAGUCCUUGUGGGGAGA
RNAcentral lists this transfer RNA (73 nucleotides) under Shewanella sp. P1-14-1. It matches the Rfam family "tRNA". Rfam says of the family: Transfer RNA (tRNA) molecules are approximately 80 nucleotides in length. Their secondary structure includes four short double-helical elements and three loops (D, anti-codon, and T loops). Lineage: Bacteria; Pseudomonadati; Pseudomonadota; Gammaproteobacteria; Alteromonadales; Shewanellaceae. The record is from Rfam by way of RNAcentral.